Molecule: ribosomal RNA, 945 nt
Filed under: Kocuria oceani
Lineage: Bacteria; Bacillati; Actinomycetota; Actinomycetes; Micrococcales; Micrococcaceae
Description: bacterial SSU rRNA
Rfam family: Bacterial small subunit ribosomal RNA
Source: RNAcentral
GAUCUCCCGCUUGCGGGGGUGAUUAGUGGCGAACGGGUGAGUAAUACGUGAGUAACCUGCCCUUGACUCUGGGAUAAGCCUGGGAAACCGGGUCUAAUACUGGAUACUACUUCCUGCCGCAUGGUGGGGGGUGGAAAGGGUUUUACUGGUUUUGGAUGGGCUCACGGCCUAUCAGCUUGUUGGUGGGGUAAUGGCUCACCAAGGCGACGACGGGUAGCCGGCCUGAGAGGGUGACCGGCCACACUGGGACUGAGACACGGCCCAGACUCUUACGGGAGGCAGCAGUGGGGAAUAUUGCACAAUGGGCGGAAGCCUGAUGCAGCGACGCCGCGUGAGGGAUGACGGCCUUCGGGUUGUAAACCUCUUUCAGCAGGGAAGAAGCCACAAGUGACGGUACCUGCAGAAGAAGCGCCGGCUAACUACGUGCCAGCAGCCGCGGUAAUACGUAGGGCGCAAGCGUUGUCCGGAAUUAUUGGGCGUAAAGAGCUCGUAGGCGGUUUGUCGCGUCUGCUGUGAAAGCCCGGGGCUCAACCCCGGGUCUGCAGUGGGUACGGGCAGACUAGAGUGCAGUAGGGGAGACUGGAAUUCCUGGUGUAGCGGUGAAAUGCGCAGAUAUCAGGAGGAACACCGAUGGCGAAGGCAGGUCUCUGGGCUGUUACUGACGCUGAGGAGCGAAAGCAUGGGGAGCGAACAGGAUUAGAUACCCUGGUAGUCCAUGCCGUAAACGUUGGGCACUAGGUGUGGGGGACAUUCCACGUUCUCCGCGCCGUAGCUAACGCAUUAAGUGCCCCGCCUGGGGAGUACGGCCGCAAGGCUAAAACUCAAAGGAAUUGACGGGGGCCCGCACAAGCGGCGGAGCAUGCGGAUUAAUUCGAUGCAACGCGAAGAACCUUACCAAGGCUUGACAUUCACCGGACCGCACUGGAGACAGUGUUUCCCUUCGGG